AACGAACGCUGGCGGCAGGCUUAACACAUGCAAGUCGAGCGCCCCGCAAGGGGAGCGGCAGACGGGUGAGUAACACGUGGGAACAUACCCUUUACUACGGAACAACUCCGGGAAACUGGAGCUAAUACCGUAUGUGCCCUUUGGGGGAAAGAUUUAUCGGUGAAGGAUUGGCCCGCGUUGGAUUAGCUAGUUGGUGGGGUAAAGGCCUACCAAGGCGACGAUCCAUAGCUGGCCUGAGAGGAUGAUCAGCGACAUUGGGACUGAGACACGGCCCAAACUCCUAGGGGAGGAGGCAGUGGGGAAGAUUGGACAAUGGGCGCAAGUCUGAUCCAGCCAUGCCGCGUGAGUGAUGAAGGCCUUAGGGUUGUAAAGCUCUUUCACCGAUGAAGAUAAUGACGGUAGUCGGAGAAGAAGCCCCGGCUAACUUCGUGCCAGCCGCCGCGGUAA
RNAcentral lists this ribosomal RNA (447 nucleotides) under uncultured bacterium. Its description in RNAcentral is "partial 16S ribosomal RNA". It matches the Rfam family "Bacterial small subunit ribosomal RNA", at positions 29 to 523 of the family's 1533-position model. The record is from RNAcentral.